GCGACUCUAUUGUAUCUUUGAGCGUGUGAUGCGUUCAGGUAUUUUUCGCGGUGCGAUAAUGAUAAAUUAAUAAAAAGUGAGAAAUAACUCAAGACUUAAAUGAAAAAAAAAAUUAAAUUGAAUUGAUCUGAAAGAAUGAUAAAUAUUUUGUGGGUUUCCUCCCAUGCAGCGUUUUGUUUAACGUCAAUAGCUCGACAACUGAAAUUUGAAAUGUAAUUUCAUAAAAC
This 227-nucleotide long non-coding RNA is filed under the name Lathyrus oleraceus (garden pea). Its description in RNAcentral is "Pisum sativum (pea) long non-coding RNA (PSAT_LNC028333)". The record is from RNAcentral. Lineage: Eukaryota; Viridiplantae; Streptophyta; Magnoliopsida; Fabales; Fabaceae.